CGCGCAGGCGGUCCUUUAAGUCUGAUGUGAAAGCCCACGGCUCAACCGUGGAGGGUCAUUGGAAACUGGGGGACUUGAGUACAGAAGAGGAAAGCGGAAUUCCACGUGUAGCGGUGAAAUGCGUAGAGAUGUGGAGGAACACCAGUGGCGAAGGCGGCUUUCUGGUCUGUAACUGACGCUGAGGCGCGAAAGCGUGGGGAGCAAACAGGAUUAGAUACCCUGGUAGUCCACGCCGUAAACGAUGAGUGCUAAGUGUUAGGGGGUUUCCGCCCCUUAGUGCUGCAGCUAACGCAUUAAGCACUCCGCCUGGGGAGUACGGCCGCAAGGCUGAA
This 332-nucleotide ribosomal RNA is filed under the name uncultured Sporosarcina sp. RNAcentral's name for it is "bacterial SSU rRNA". It matches the Rfam family "Bacterial small subunit ribosomal RNA", at positions 568 to 898 of the family's 1533-position model. The record is from RNAcentral. Lineage: Bacteria; Bacillati; Bacillota; Bacilli; Caryophanales; Caryophanaceae.